AGCGAACGCUGGCGGCAGGCCUAAUACAUGCAAGUCGAACGGACCCUUCGGGGUUAGUGGCGGACGGGUGAGUAACACGUGGGAACGUGCCCUUUGGUUCGGAAUAACUCAGGGGAAACUUGAAUUAAUACCGAAUGUGCCCUUCGGGGAAGGAUUAUCGCCAUUGGAGCGGCCCGCGUCUGAUUAGCUAGUUGGUGGGGUAAAGGCCCACCAAGGCUACGAUCAGUAGCUGGUCUGAGAGGAUGANCAGCCACACUGGGGACUGAGACACGGCCCAGACUCCUACGGGAGGGCAGCAGUAGGGAAUCUUGCGCAAUGGGCGAAAGCCUGACGCAGCCAUGCCGCGUGAA
Molecule: ribosomal RNA, 350 nt
Filed under: uncultured bacterium
Lineage: Bacteria
Description: bacterial SSU rRNA
Rfam family: Bacterial small subunit ribosomal RNA
Source: RNAcentral